UUAUGUAAAUAUCAUCUAUUUUGUUUGUGAUAUGCUUUACUAUUAUAGGUAUUUUAAACAUGACUUAACUUUCUGUAUGUUUGCAAUAAAUUUUUGAAUAAGACGAAUGGUCAAAGUUGUAAGAAAAAAUCAACGGUGACAAAUAUUUUGAUACGAAGGGAAUACUAUCACAGAGUUUACUGGUAUGCAGAGGAGUCACCCAAUCAUUUAUGUUGAGGGGAAGAGGGUGCUCCAAUCUCUGAAAAGUUAGAACCACAGUAAGCUGAUCAAUUCCUACUCUAUCAGCUACAUUUGGAGGUUUAUGUCUUGUUUCGUUGUUGUUAGGGUUGAACGAGAGCUCUUCAACUUUGCAUAGCUGAACAUUGUCUGUUCAAAUAAUCAAUGCUCUAUGUGACUAUGUCAGUGGUACAGUAUUGUGGACGUGUUAGGAUAACCAGACAGGCAGACACUUCUGUCAAACUGGGAGCAUUUGGAACCUCAUCCAAUGCUUUCCAGCCCUCAUUUUUAUGAGAAACAUUUCUGUUUAUUGAUGCCCCUCAUCUACUUCAGUGUUUAUGAAUUAGAUGCAUAGAAAACCAUGUCCUGGAGGUUGUCUAUAUGGUCUUGCUAAAGUGCUAAAAGGUUGUUGAUUGCAGAAGGAGUUUAGCUUUGCUCCUUUUAUGUUGAUGAGACAUAAUGUAACUCGUUUUGAUCACCUCGAUAAAAUAUGUUUCAGUUGCUUGGAACAAAUCAUGUUGUUUUGUUUCAGUUGCUUUUGCAGUACUGGAAGAAUUACGAAAUGGAAAUGUCAACUUUGCAUCAAUUGAUUUCUGGCUACUCUGUUCUGAACCGUGAAGGUACAACUUUGCAUCAACUGAUUGCUGGCUUGUGACUACUCUGUUCUGCACCAUGAAGGUGAUGCUACUGACCUCCCUCCUACAGGUGUUGAUGGUAUCGAACAAUUAGGGCUUCGAGUCGGAGUCAUUGACCCAAGUGGAGUUCCCGUCCUUGAAGGUUCCUGACUAGGGCGACCAGAAAUUUUGGGAACAAUGACACCCCUGGCUGCAGCAGAAUUCAUCUGGUGUACAGUCUGAUUCUGUGCUGUGCCUUUGGAGAUGUUCUGAUUAACAUUCUGCCGGUUCACGAUCCAUUUCUCAGCGUCAUUCC
This is a long non-coding RNA of Panicum hallii, 1146 nucleotides long. RefSeq lists it as uncharacterized. Lineage: Eukaryota; Viridiplantae; Streptophyta; Magnoliopsida; Poales; Poaceae. The transcript has 3 exons. The record is from RefSeq and is a predicted model, not a curated record.